AACGAACGCUGGCGGCGUGCCUAACACAUGCAAGUCGAACGAGAAAGUGGCUUCGUCUCCGAGUAAAGUGUCGCACGGGUGAUUAACACGGGUGUAACCUGCCUCUAAGAUUGGCAUAACUCGUCGAAAGAUGAGCUAAUACCGAAUAAGACCACAGUUCCCGCGGGAACAUUGGUCAAAGGUAGCCUCUGCUUGCAUGCUAUCACUUAGAGAUAGGCCUGCGCACCAUUAGCUAGUUGGUAGGGUAACGGCCUACCAAGGCAAAGAUGUUUAGCUGGUCUGAGAGGAUGAUCAGCCACACUGGAACUGAGACACGGUCCAGACUCCUACGGGAGGCAGCAGUGGGGAAUAUUGCGCAAUGGGCGAAAGCUUGACGCAGCAACGCCGCGUGAGUGAUGAAGGCCUUCGGGUCGUAAAGCUCUGUCGGGAGGAAAGAAUGCUCCUGAGGUUAAAAGCCUCGGGAGGUGACGGUACCUUAAAAGGAAGCACCGGCUAACUAUGUG
RNAcentral lists this ribosomal RNA (503 nucleotides) under uncultured bacterium. Its description in RNAcentral is "partial 16S ribosomal RNA". It matches the Rfam family "Bacterial small subunit ribosomal RNA", at positions 29 to 507 of the family's 1533-position model. The record is from RNAcentral.